RNAcentral lists this ribosomal RNA (467 nucleotides) under uncultured bacterium. RNAcentral's name for it is "partial 16S ribosomal RNA". It matches the Rfam family "Bacterial small subunit ribosomal RNA", at positions 28 to 506 of the family's 1533-position model. The record is from RNAcentral.
GACGAACGCUGGCGGCGUGCUUAACACAUGCAAGUCGAACGGAAAGGCCCUGCUUUUGUGGGGUGCUCGAGUGGCGAACGGGUGAGUAACACGUGAGUAACCUGCCCUUGACUUUGGGAUAACUUCAGGAAACUGGGGCUAAUACCGGAUAGGAGCUCCUGCUGCAUGGUGGGGGUUGGAAAGUUUCGGCGGUUGGGGAUGGACUCGCGGCUUAUCAGCUUGUUGGUGGGGUAGUGGCUUACCAAGGCUUUGACGGGUAGCCGGCCUGAGAGGGUGACCGGCCACAUGGGGACUGAGAUACGGCCCAGACUCCUACGGGAGGCAGCAGUGGGGAACAUUGCACAAUGGGCGGAAGCCUGAUGCAGCAACGCCGCGUGCGGGAGGACGGCCUUCGGGUUGUAAACCGCUUUCGCCUGUGACGAAGCGUGAGUGACGGGAAUGGGUAAAGAAGCACCGGCUAACUACGU